UACGAAGGGGGCUAGCGUUGCUCGGAAUCACUGGGCGUAAAGGGCGCGUAGGCGGCGUUUUAAGUCGGGGGUGAAAGCCUGUGGCUCAACCACAGAAUGGCCUUCGAUACUGGGACGCUUGAGUAUGGUAGAGGUUGGUGGAACUGCGAGUGUAGAGGUGAAAUUCGUAGAUAUUCGCAAGAACACCGGUGGCGAAGGCGGCCAACUGGACCAUUACUGACGCUGAGGCGCGAAAGCGUGGGAGCAA
Molecule: ribosomal RNA, 247 nt
Filed under: uncultured bacterium
Lineage: Bacteria
Description: partial 16S ribosomal RNA
Rfam family: Bacterial small subunit ribosomal RNA
Source: RNAcentral